This 3390-nucleotide long non-coding RNA is filed under the name Homo sapiens (human). Its description in RNAcentral is "HSALNT0033785". Lineage: Eukaryota; Metazoa; Chordata; Mammalia; Primates; Hominidae. The record is from RNAcentral.
CAUAAUCCAGUUCUUGCCCAUGACACAGCCUUCACCUAUGCUCUGAAACUGCACCUCAGAUCUGAGAAAAAUGUGCCCGCCUGGUCCUUGACUUAGAUAUCACUAAAGAUCUGGCCAUCAGCCUCUUCCUGAUGCCAGACACAAGUCAGGUGAGUAACCUGCUUCUCCAGUUGGGCAGGACUUUGGGAUUCCCCUGGAUGAGACUCCUGGGUAGGAUAGAUCCCCUGAUAUUACUGUUGGAUCACACCGAAUGAGAUAACCAAAUUUUCCUUCUCAUGGUGCCACUUACAAAGGGCUUCUGAAUAAUUAUCUGUUUGAUCCUUACACCAACCCUAGGAGGUGAAGCUACUAAUGUUAUCCCCAAUUUAAAGAUGUGAAAACUGAGACUCACGGAAACUAGGUGACUUGUCUAGGGUCACACAGCCAGGAAACGUCAAGGUGAGAAUUUGAACCCUGGCCUUCUGAACUUGAGAUCCAGGGCCUGGCACAGAGUGGGCCCAGCAGACAUUUCUUCUUCCCAUCACACCUGCCAUGAGCUAAAGAAAAGUCAUCACUUCUGUCUUGUAGGACCGGCUCUUCAGGGAAGGACAUCCCCACAACCAGGACCCCUGGCAAAGAGGAAUUAAAGACCCAGUUGUGUUGUGAUGUUCAUUAUUCAGAUCUCGGAGCGCUCACGGAUCUCUUGGAUGUCCCCUGCCAGCUCAACUGAUGAGACUGCUACUUUAUGUACCACUGCUUGAAAAAGAAGGGAAUCUCCUAUUUCUCACACAGGAUAACAGUUGAGAGUCAUUGCCACAAUAAAACAGACAUGUUAGCGGUCAGGUUCAUAUAAGGACUAAGCGGCCCCAUGAAUCACAUAGGACUGGCUAAUCCUAGGACACUCCUCUCUGUGGUUUGCUAGGUAGCAGAGAGGGGAAGCUAAAUAGUAGUUUCUAAUAACAACUGGGAAGGCUUUUUCUUUUUAAAUAAAAAUGGAAUUGGCAUAAUUGGGAAUGAAGAUAAAGCUUGGAACCAAGUUAGAGAAGGCAAAGUGUACGUAGAAGAGCUGUUACAAAUAUAAAACUUGGCUGCGUUCUUUGUGAAGGCUCAAACUUGGGAAGGUUAAAUACCAUAAAUUUUUUCAUUUGUUCUGUAUUUUGAUCCUGAAAAGAAAGCUGGCUUUGCCCAUGUAUUACUUUAAAAACUUGGGGGAAAGGAGAAGAAAGGGACAAGUUUUUAAAAACUGUUUGAAAACAUUACAGCUGAAAGAAGCUACAUAGGAGCUGGGUAGAGAACCUAGUGACUAAGAGAAUGAGGAAUGCCGAGUACGCAUCCUGUGGGCGGGGCUCUACCCUUGCCGCUUUCAGAUUUAACUGCCUGAUCAAAUAGUUUUACAAGAAUAAACUCAGGAAACAGGUUGAGAAAUGAGCAGCUGAGACUGGAGUGUUCACUUUGCAAAGAACAUACUACGAAAAGAUCUGCACUCUAGGAGGUCUCAGCUGAUGAGGAAGAUGCUAGCACAGUGUCCUAUGGUCAGAAAAGAUGACCUGGCAAGAGGGGGAGUGGAGGAGAGGCAGGAAAGGGGAUCCCUUCAUGCUGAAAUCAAUGCAAUGAUGUCUGAUAUAUACAGAAAAACAGGUCUUGUAUAAAUAUGUCAUUAUAAGUGACAAGAUAAUAACAUUUUCUAGUGUAUGGAUUCUAUUUCUUUAUGUCAUUCUGGUCAACCAAAAACAAUCCUAUUUGGCAGAUUUCUGGCAUUUUGCCUCUUCCCCUAAUGACAGAUCUAAACACAUAUAUAAAAAUAGGUGGCCACAAAGAAAUAACUUCUGGCUUUAAAUGUCAUUUGGCUAGAAAUGUCUCAGGCAGCCUCUCCCAACUUUCCUGUGAUAUCUUUGAAAACAAAGAGAAAGACAAGAACUCAAAACAAGCACCAGAAACUUGACCCAAUCAAAGUCUUACCCAGAUUCUUGGAAGCAUUGUUCUUAAUUACAAGGCAAGAAACAUAGGAUUGAUACAAACCCAUCCAAAUUAUGCCUCAUGUAAUAGAAGUCAGUGGGAAGCCAGCUGCCCCUAUUUUCUUAGAGACACAGAGAUUCACGGUCUGUACCAACCAGAACACUAAGCGGGCACCCAUGUGCCAUGGAAGUCCUGCUUUUUGAGGAUGCCAGUACUACAUCUAUUUGGAGAUAGCACCUCCCAGGAAAUAACUGGCCAGGAAGUGUGUGUAUACGUGGGGGAGGGGUAGGAAGAAGGAGAACCAGCAAUUUGUACUGUAUCUUGGGAGGUGUAACUUUAACUUUACAAGCUAAACACUACAGGCAAGGGUGGAGACAGGAAGAUUCCUAAUAGCAGGACACUCUAUCAAUUGCAGUUUUGCAGGUGACUCUGUGGGUCACAAGAAUAGAGAACCAGAUGGGGAAUGUGCUACCUCAGUAGAAUGAAAAUGUUAUUUGGUGCAUGUCUGCUAGAAACUGAAAAUUGGUCUGGACUCAUGCAUGUCAACUUGUACUUCAGGUCUGAAAAGGGGAUGCAUAUGUAUAAAAUUCAACAGAAUGUACAAAUAAUUAAGAUUAAUAAGUGACCUGAGCAAGGAUGCAGAAUACAAGGUCAAUUAAUUUCUAUGUACUAGCAAUAAAUAAUUUUAAAUGAAGUAAAAAUACUAUAUACAACAUAAAAUCAUCAAAUAUUAAAGAAUAAAUACAAUAGAAUAUGUUUAAGAUCUCUACAUUGAAAACUAUAAAACACUGAAGGGAAAAUGUUUAAAAGACCAAAAUAAAUGGAGGAAUAUACCAUGUUUGUGGAUCAAAGCAUACAAUAUUGUUAAGACGUCAAUCCUCACUAAAUUCUAUUGUAAUCCCAAUCCAAAUCCCAAAUAUUCUUCUACAAUAUGGCUUUGCCACUGCCCCAUCAAUAGAAGUUUACUUUUUCUCUCUUUGAAUCUAGAUAGGCUUAUAUGCUUCAUGGCUUCCUCGGCAGGUGAUAAAUGGCAAUUCAGCUUCAACCUGGAUUACAGGAAUAGCCAUUGUUUUAGACUUCAACUGUCACGUAAGCAGUUCAGCUGAACUGAGGCACCAUGACGUGAGGAAGCCCAAAGUCAGCCUAUCUGGAGGGAUCACAUGGAGAGGUCCCAAGACUACACAAAAAGAAGAUGAUAUGAAUGCCUGGCCAGCCCCUAGCUGCUCUAGUUCCUUGCUGUUCCAGCUCCAGCCAUCAUCCAACUGCAACUGCAUGAGAGACCCCAGAAGCAUAGAGCUAAGCCCUUCCCAAAUUCCUUCCCACAGAAACCCUGAGAGAUAAUAAAUGACUGUUGUUGUUUUCAAUCACUGUUUUGAAAUUGGUUGUUAGGCAGCAAGAGAAGCCAGAACAGGGACCUUGGAAUACACAGAAUUUCUUAAUCAGGAUACAAAAAGA